RNAcentral lists this ribosomal RNA (253 nucleotides) under uncultured bacterium. RNAcentral describes it as "partial 16S ribosomal RNA". It matches the Rfam family "Bacterial small subunit ribosomal RNA", at positions 524 to 776 of the family's 1533-position model. The record is from RNAcentral.
UACAGAGGUCUCAAGCGUUGUUCGGAUUCAUUGGGCGUAAAGGGUGCGUAGGUGGCGGGGUAAGUCUGGUGUGAAAUCCUGGGGCUCAACCCCGGAACUGCACUGGAUACUGCUUUGCUAGAGUACUGGAGAGGGAACUGGAAUUUACGGUGUAGCAGUGAAGUGCGUAGAUAUCGUAAGGAAGACCAGUGGCGAAGGCGAGUUCCUGGACAGUUACUGACACUGAGGCACGAAGGCCAGGGGAGCAAACGGG